Non-coding RNA from Cricetulus griseus (Chinese hamster), 708 nucleotides. The record is from RefSeq and is a predicted model, not a curated record. Lineage: Eukaryota; Metazoa; Chordata; Mammalia; Rodentia; Cricetidae.
AAAAAGAAGACACAAAAGGAGUAGAGAAGAAAUAAAGUUCAUUACUGUGGUUUUUACCCCAAAGAGGUACACCACAAAUUGCCAGCUAAUCUAGAUAGAAUGGAUACAUUGUGUUGGAUCAAGGUCCAGUUUUCUCUGCAGUUCUCUGAAGUGUUAAGGGAUAGAGCCUAUUUAAGAAAACUUCCUUUUAUGCCAGGUGGCUUAAAUGGGGCUUCUCUUAAUAGGCCACCCUGUAUUCCAAAUGGGAAAGAAAACUUCUCAGGAAGCACCUCUUUGUGGCAAAACAUCUGAAAACCAUUCACAUUUGGGUCUUCUAAUUUUCAACAGUGCCACUUCUGCACUCUGUUCUCAAGGCACCCGGAGGGUAAUCCUGGGACGUCCUCUCCUCCUCUUCAUGCAUGUUUCUGAGUGCAUGAAGUUGUGAAGGUUCUACAUGUAAUGCAUAUGUGACGCAUCAUCUUAUCAUAUAUUCCUUCCUAUACAUUGUUUACACUCCAGCUACUGGAUGGGAUGUUCCAUGCAAACUUAAAUUGCUGUUGGCAAACUAUAGAGGGAGGUCAGACAAGAAAAUUCCACAAUAUUCCAAGUUCAACUAAUCCAUCAGGUUUCUCUGUUAACGCCAAGAUUUAGAAGAUUUAAUUAAAAUUAUUGUUCUCUAAAUGACAGUUUGUGACAGAAAAGUAAAUCUUUUUAGAAUGCUGACAUUAA